CUUAUUGCUUUUAGAACCCGCAAAGGGUUAGAUGGUUUUGUUGACUGAUGUCACUUAAAAAAAUACAAAUUUAAAACUUUUCGAGGGCUUUUCCUUGAAUAUCCCUUCAGCUUUAGGGGAUCUAAAAUCCUGAAUCUGGCAAACUCUAACAGAGUUUUGUGAUUAUUUUCUGUGUUAUCUCAAUUUCUGAUUUAAUUAUUCAAUUUUUUUUUAAUUUUAAAGGCAAUCAAGUGCUUAAAAUACCUAAAUCUACUGAAGGCGAAAGCAUGGUGGCUAUGGAUCUUUACAUUCAUUAACGGAGGUCUUUGGAUCGCAACACGGAAUGUUAUUCUCCCGUUUUACCUCAUACCAGGUAUUUACCGACAUGCACCAUUCGGCUUACUUCAGUCGUUCCCGUAUUCGUGUUUCAGAGGCGGAGCUUGUAACAUCAGUUCGUUUGCAUUCAACUCAAACCAUAUCCUUGUGAUAAUGUUAUCAUGUUUGGGGCUUCUUCAUGUAUACUGGACCUGUCUUAUCUUCAAAAUUUCCUACUUGGCACUUAUUGUCGGGAAGUAAGUAUUUAGAUUUGAAAAAUAGGGAUUAUGCCAAGAAUAAGAAGUAUUGAGUUGACAAAUCCUGUAAAUCAUGGAAAAUUCCGUUUUGGGGGGAAGUGUUCUAGUUAAAGGGGGGGGGGGUCCAUACCCCCUGAGCCCCUCGCGCCUCAGCAGGCAGAUCAUCACAAAUCACGCAGCCAGUUAUAAAAAUUAUUAAUAUUUUAACCAGAGAGCUGAUUAACAUAAUGUUAUAGGAGCUGACAUUAUACGGCCUUGAACUUCGAUCCGUGCAUGCGGGAGAAUCUUUAACGUUAGCGGUCCGACACACGGUGGAUUUAUCCUCUGGCAAUGGCGUGGCGUGUUUUGCGAUAGGUCGAUUGAUCUGCCAUUUAAACCUAUGGAGAGAGAUCGAUAGACAGGAUGAUCUCAACGAACACCUCAUUAUUCGAUUCUUUACGACGGCUUCAAAUGGGGAGAUAUCGAUAAUCGAUCAUUCUCGCCUCUCCAAUGUUUAGUUCGGGAGAGGUCGGAAAUUAAAUCGAAGACUAAAACUGCAAUGAUUGACUGAUAAUGAUUACAGCACCCAAUACAUUUUAUAAAAUAGAAGUAGAAUGUUACGAGGAAACCGAAUCAACCACUUUUCAGACUCUACGUCUCAUAUUUACGAAGCUAUGAUUUGGUCUGCCAUGCUAGGGAAAAAAGCCGUAUGAACCUGCAGACGUUGCCAAAUAUUUCCUUUCACAAAACACAAAUUUCCUGGCAAACUUAUGAAUACAUUCCAGUUAUUUAGAUAACUUUGUUUGCAAUAUCACCUGAAAUUCCUGAAAUUUCGAGGAAAUAUAUUCAUAACAAUAAAAACACAAUUUAAAACGCGGGUAACUAGGCUAAAAUUCAUAUACACAAAACCAAAACGUUUCGGCUGAAAAUUCAGCCAUCCUCAGUUGAAUAAAUCAAAAUAAAAUGGUUAAAAAUCUAAAAUAGUACCUGACUGUAAGUACCUUUCAUUUGGGAAUGUUGUUAUUAUGCUUUUGGUUUUGUGUAUAUGAAUUUGAGCCUUGUUACCCGCCUUUUAAAUUGUGUUUUUAUUGUAUAACUUGUCACGGGCUGCAGAGCAUCUAUCAUAUCUCAUAUAUUCAUAAAUUUCCUCAAAAAUAAACAAUUUAUUGAUGAAAAUUUGGCAACUCUCGAAUGUUCUUACGGCGUUCUUCCUUUGCACGGCAGUAAUAACGUUUGCACAUUUGGACUGCAAUUUGGAACUAUAAAUUCUGGCUCAUAUGAAAAAACACUUAUGUGCAUAGGGAAACUAAUGGCACAUACGUUGUUUUCGAACCGGGCCAGAAUUUAUAGUUCCGAAUUGCAAAAUGCAGUCCAUUUUGUCCGGCUUCUCAUAUUGACUCAUCCGCAUCCCACUGUCCGACGUCUUAGAGUUGUGGGUCAGAUGUAAACACGACCGGCCUCCGGCCUUGCUGUCAUUAAUCCGACGAAAAUAAUAAAGCGCGUGGCAACUAUAUCUAUUUAAUUUUCAAUCUUUACGGUUUUGUUUAUUUCGUUCGGGAGCGCAGCGCCGCGAAAACGGAAAUAUCAUCGUCAAGUCAAAUUUUUCCAUCUUCCUGAUCAUCUUUUUUGGAAGAUUCUCUGAACAUUAACUCAACUCGACCAUUACGUUCGUGACGUAAACGGUAUCAUUUAACUACCACCUGCUGUCUUGGAGUUUUUUCCGAUUCCUAUCAUACUCAUUUAACUUGUGAAUCUGAGUACUUCCGUCGGGUCGGGUUAAUUGCUCGUCAACGGGCGAUCCGAACAGGCGCACAUUGGAUCGAAGCAAUCAGAGAGGUUGGACAUAAAAUGUGUGACUAAAACGGCAAGUGUUGAUGUAUAUUUCGUCACAUUUUAAAUUUCUAGGGGUGCCUUCAUCAGAACAAUUCACGAGAAAACCAGUGGAACCACUGUUAGAACCUCAACAUUUUGUAUGAACGGAUUUAUUUGCUCUCAAAGUUUCCAAAUUUCGUCCGACGUCUCCUAUUGACCUGUUAGGCGCAGUGGAAAAAAUUGUUGCUGAAAUUGGAUGGAUUCUAUUAUAUUAAACCUAACUGUAUUUUACAUGGCCUAACUUCCACUUUAUGUCUCAUUUUAUUGACAUAGAGUUAAAUUACAUGACGACCCACUGGACUUCGCGGUUGAACGAUGUACGUUGCUUAGUUCUCUGAUUAAAACAAAACAAACAGCACAACAAAACAAAAGAGGAUCAGACAUUUGGCAUUUACUGCUCUACUACAUUACGCGAAAAAGAAUGUUAAGGGUUAUAUCCCCUUAAAUUGUGGUACUACCCUAAUUUGUUGGAUGAUACGGGUAUUUCCAAUUACUUGUGGUAGCACCGCAACAAUUGGGUUAGUAGCCUAAUUUAUUGGAGUACUACUAGUUAAGUAGAGAAACAACCACAAUUAAUUGUGGCACUGGCAAAAUUAAUUGGGCACGUCCAUAUCAUCCAACAGCCUCUACUACCUCUUUUUCCCUCAAAAUACGGGAAUUUUUUCACGUGAUUCUCCAGAGUAAAUUUCGAUUGGGCAAAUAGAAUCUUCAAGAAUGUUUUGAUCAGUCACAUUCAUCGGCAGAACGGCAAGUUGGCAUUUUCUCAUCUAAAUUACUAAUACUUAUGUCUGCGAAUUUCUUUUUUCAGCUGGAAGAUGACACACGAGAGGUACCGGAUGAUGAAAGUGACGGCCCAAAAAUGAAACUGAAAUCAACAAAAAAGGAAUGAUGCGGUUUUUGGCAGAGCUGAAACUAAGCUGUUGGUUGCGUGUGUCGCGAAAAAAAGUGAAGCCAAUAGUAAUUUUAUAGAUUGGAGACGAAUUUGCGUGAGCUAUAAUUUCGGUACCGUGCGGCUGAUGAAUCCAAUUAUCUUGCAUUCGACUUUUGAAACAUCUCAUAAUUGACACUGAUUCAUCGUCCACAAAAACUUGAUGCUCGUUUUAUGUUUGAAUUUUACAUUCCGGAGCCUAAGAUAGGCCAGAGCGUUGUUGGUGACCGGAAAAGGUUACAAGAAAUGAAGUCAUAAUUUCAGUCAGUAAAUAACUUCAUGAAAAUUCCGACUCAUUUAGUAUACGCUCUAUUCGGAUCAGGAUUAGUUUUGAUCCUUUCAAAAUUCUCAAAUAUUAUAUCAGGCGCCAUAUUGGAUGACCCAUUUUUUAUUUAGCGCAAUUUUCUUCUAGAAAAAGGGCAAUAUCUAGAUAGGAAUUAUUUCGGCUUAAUUUGCAUGACAAAUAUGAAGCCUGGAAAAAACGCGAUGUAGAUAUUUGGUAGCAUAAUAUUUUUUUAAAAAAAAAAUUGGUCUUUAAAAAUAACCAUCGGAAUGUAUUUCGUGACAUUUUGAAGCGACUCGUUCUUAAGUUUCCGCUUCAAGCGCCGCAAAAGUGUAUUUGUAUCAUAUUUGAACCCUAUACCCACCCGUUGCGUGUGAAUUCUCGAGGUGUUCAUCCAGUCAAAUCAUUUACAGUGCCUACUUUGUAGUGGAAUGCAACCAGAUAUACUGCUGAAUGAAUCGGUAUCGUGUCAGCAUUGCCAUGUAGACUUUACUAAUGAAAUGGUUUGCACUAAAUUUUUACUCCUAAGAUUUCCUUGCGGAAUGUGUACAAUAUCUGCCAGAAGUUACGUGGCUUAAUGAUUGGGCUAUUGUUCUAGACAUUUGGCACAAGUUGCUUUCUUGAAAAGGUCCAGUGGCGAUUUUGCGAAUUGAUUGCACCGUUGUUCUUCCACUUAAAUCCAUUAAAAAUAUCGAUUUUAGACGAGGCAAGCUGUCUCCCCAAGAAUCGAUUCUUUCACAUACAUUUUCAUGGAGGAAAAAAAGUGCGUGGCUGGCUUUCAAGAACCGCCAGCAGAAAGGUCCAGUUUACUUCGUGCCCUUUGUGCCAUUCUUUCGGUACAAGCGAUGAUUUUGUGAUAUUAAGUCAUAAGUUAAGUUAAUUUUAAGUUAGUGUAAGGUUAAUUCUGUAUCGAUUAUAAAUUUAAGAAUCAUGCAGUAUUUCAUUACCUUGUUUACUAAUGUAUAUAGCAAAGUUUUUUAAAUCCAUGAUUUUAAAUAAAAAAAGAAAAAUUCUCAACUUCAAGUAGAUUUUCAGCGAAUUCAGCACGUGCUAUUCUUCAAUCAUUUGAAUUUUUUUACAUAACUUGUCCAAACCAGAAUUUUGGUCUAUUUGCAUAGACCAUAAACCUUCCCUCUAUGGACAAAGAUUAAAAAUAAAAUACUCUCCUUCAGCGUAUAUCUUAUCGAUAUCAAGUGCUGAAAACGAGAUUCAGGAAGUCUAUUGACUAUUUGUUAAGAUUGCAGGUAUUAUGCUCACCGAUACAACUGACGGAUUUUGACAUAAAAAAAUAAAUAAAUUGUUGCUCUAAUAUAUCGACAAAAAAAUUAAAAUUAUGACAAACAUGCGGCAACAACAACUGCUCCGUUUGAGCAUAAAAUUGCAUAGCCUAGGAAAUAGUUGAAGCUUUGAAAUCACCAAAUUAAUCCCUUUUCCCUGGGAUAUAAUUGAGAGUAAAUGGAGGCGUUUAUAGUGGCCGCGCAUGUAGUGAUAAGAAAUUGCAGUGUACACUUACGUAGAUUAAAACAAGGCUCCGAGAAGAGGUGUAAGUGCAUAAAUGCAGGCUAUCGUAUGGACCCGCAAUUCAUUAUUUAUAAUCCGUUUAUC
RNAcentral lists this long non-coding RNA (5218 nucleotides) under Bemisia tabaci. Its description in RNAcentral is "lncRNA ENSSWEETPG002912". The record is from RNAcentral. Lineage: Eukaryota; Metazoa; Arthropoda; Insecta; Hemiptera; Aleyrodidae.